UACGGGGGGGGCAAGCGUUGUUCGGAAUUACUGGGCGUAAAGGGCGCGUAGGCGGCCUUCUAAGUCAGACGUGAAAUCCCUCGGCUCAACCGAGGAACUGCGUCUGAUACUGGAAGGCUUGAAUCCGGGAGAGGGAUGUGGAAUUCCAGGUGUAGCGGUGAAAUGCGUAGAUAUCUGGAGGAACACCGGUGGCGAAGGCGGCUCUCUGGACCGAUACUGACGCUGAGGCGCGAAAGCGUGGGGAGCAAACAGG
Molecule: ribosomal RNA, 253 nt
Filed under: uncultured bacterium
Lineage: Bacteria
Description: partial 16S ribosomal RNA
Rfam family: Bacterial small subunit ribosomal RNA
Source: RNAcentral